This 513-nucleotide ribosomal RNA is filed under the name uncultured bacterium. RNAcentral's name for it is "partial 16S ribosomal RNA". It matches the Rfam family "Bacterial small subunit ribosomal RNA", at positions 28 to 507 of the family's 1533-position model. The record is from RNAcentral.
GACGAACGCUGGCGGCGUGCUUAACACAUGCAAGUCGAACGAAAAGAUGGGAAGAGCUUGCUCUUUCCGGAAUGUAGUGGCAAACGGGUGAGUAACACGUAAACAAUCUGCCUUCAGGAUGGGUGCAACAGACGGAAACGACCGCUAAGACCGAAUUAGUUCCACGAGCGGCGAGGCCGAUGGAAGAAAAGUUGGCGUCUGCAUGUAAGCUAUCGCCGGAAGAGGGGCUUGCGUCUGAUUAGCUGGUUGGGGGGGUAACGGGCCAACAAGCCGAGGAUCAGUAGACGGGCUGAAAGGCGGAACGGCCAAACUGGACGGGGAACACGGUCCAGACCACUAGGGGAGGGAGCCGUGGGGAAUCCUCCGCAAUGGGAGCAAGCCGGAAGAAGCAACGCCGGGCGCGAGAUGGAGGCAGUCGGGUUGCAAAACUCUGUGAUCCGGGAGGAAAAGGCAGAGUGCGAAGAACAAACUGCAUUGACGGUACCGGAAAAGUAAGCCACGGCUAACUACGUG